GGAGCAGUAGUUUAGUUCGGCCGAUGAUCGUGGACUGUCACUCCAUGGACCCGGGUUCAAAUCCCGGCUGCUUCGCCA
Molecule: transfer RNA, 78 nt
Filed under: Candidatus Heimdallarchaeota archaeon
Lineage: Archaea; Promethearchaeati; Candidatus Heimdallarchaeota
Description: tRNA-Asp
Rfam family: tRNA
About the family: Transfer RNA (tRNA) molecules are approximately 80 nucleotides in length.
Source: RNAcentral